AAUCAACGCUGGCGGCGUGCCUAACACAUGCAAGUCGCACGAGAAAGUGGAGCAAUCCAUGAGUACAGUGGCGCACGGGUGAGUAACACGUGACUAACCUACCCUCGAGUGGGGAAUAACCUCGGGAAACCGGGGCUAAUACCGCAUAACAUCUUCUGGUUGAGAUACCGGUUGAUCAAAGCAGUAAUGGGCUUGAGGAGGGGGUCGCGGCUGAUUAGCUAGUUGGUGGGGUAACGGCCCACCAAGGCGAUGAUCAGUAGCCGGCCUGAG
This 270-nucleotide ribosomal RNA is filed under the name uncultured bacterium. Its description in RNAcentral is "partial 16S ribosomal RNA". It matches the Rfam family "Bacterial small subunit ribosomal RNA", at positions 32 to 296 of the family's 1533-position model. The record is from RNAcentral.